This 434-nucleotide ribosomal RNA is filed under the name uncultured bacterium. RNAcentral describes it as "partial 16S ribosomal RNA". It matches the Rfam family "Bacterial small subunit ribosomal RNA", at positions 29 to 508 of the family's 1533-position model. The record is from RNAcentral.
AGCGAACGCUGGCGGCAGGCCUAACACAUGCAAGUCGAACGAACUCUUCGGAGUUAGUGGCGGACGGGUGAGUAACACGUGGGAACGUGCCUUUUGGUUCGGAAUAACUCAGGGAAACUUGUGCUAAUACCGAAUGUGCCCUUCGGGGGAAAGAUUUAUCGCCAUUAGAGCGGCCCGCGUCUGAUUAGCUAGUUGGUGAGGUAACGGCUCACCAAGGCGACGAUCAGUAGCUGGUCUGAGAGGAUGACCAGCCACACUGGGACUGAGACACGGCCCAGGCUCCUACGGGAGGCAGCAGUGGGGAAUCUUGCGCAAUGGGCGAAAGCCUGACGCAGCCAUGCCGCGUGAAUGAUGAAGGUCUUAGGAUUGUAAAAUUCUUUCACCGGGGACGAUAAUGACGGUACCCGGAGAAGAAGCCCCGGCUAACUUCGUGC